CCUACGGGUGGCAGCAGUGGGGAAUAUUGCACAAUGGGGGAAACCCUGAUGCAGCGACGCCGCGUGAGUGAAGAAGUAUUUGGGGAUGUAAAGCUCUAUCAGCAGGGAAGAAAAUGACGGUACCUGAUUAAGAAGCCCCGGCUAACUACGUGACAGCAGCGGCGGUAAUACGUAGGGGGGAAGCGGUAUCCGGAUUUAAUGGGGGUAAAGGGAGGGUAGACGGGAGCACAAGUCUGGAGGGAAAUGGAGGGGGUGAAACCCGGAACUGCGUUGGAAACUGUGCAGCUAGAGUGCAGGAGAGGUAAGUGGAAUGCCUAGUGUAGCGGUGAAAUGCGUAGAUAUUAGGCGGAACACCAGUGGCGAAGGCGGCUUACUGGAGUCCAACUGACGUUGAGGCACGAAAGCGUGGGUAGCGAACAGGAUUAGAUACCCGUGUAGUC
Molecule: ribosomal RNA, 440 nt
Filed under: uncultured bacterium
Lineage: Bacteria
Description: partial 16S ribosomal RNA
Rfam family: Bacterial small subunit ribosomal RNA
Source: RNAcentral